AUUUUAUGCGUGCGAAGUAGUACAAAGUUUAUUACAAUUUUUUUUAAAAAUCUAGUACAAUUUUAAAGAUCGUGUAUAUUCUUCGCAAUUAGUAAAGGAUAGUAGAUGUUAAUGAGAUUUUGUAUUAUUUUUAAAAUUGUACAAGAAAGUCGUAGAGGCAUCACCAAAUAAUUUUUCUGAAAGUAGUACAAUUUUUUCCUAAUUUUCCUUUACAAGAGAAAUACAAGAUUUAAUAAAUAUAAGACAAUAAUCAUCUUAGUACAAUUAUUUGUACUAAAUUCAAUUUAUGCGUAGCCAAAAGAUUUAUAGAAUCUCUUAAAUGUGGUUUAAUAUUUAGUACAAAUUUUCAUUUAUAUUUAGUACAAUUUUAAAAUAAGAAUCACUCGGCUCGUAAAACAUGAAAUAUGUUUAUUGAAUUUUGUACAAAUAAAAAAUUGUACUGAGGCCACCCCUAAAGUAUUUUUAAAUACAAUAUCGCUAAUAUUCUGUGAGAAAUAGUACAAAUAAUAUUUAAAAAUUUGUACUAGAAAUACCUUAUGCGUGGCCAAAGGCCUAGCAUCAUCACACAAUUUUUCUGAAAUUUAGGUUAUGAAUUAUAGCUAAUGAACUAUAGCUAUCUCUUAUAAUUAAGGAGAUAUUUCAAAAAAACAUUUGGUCCUUCGAGCCGGAUUUUGCACUUAAAUCCCCAUAUCUCAGGAACUAAUGAAGAUAAAUAUAAAGUGUUUGGGUUCAUUUUAAUCAGCAUAAGAUUCUUUAUUUAAUUAGUGAAAAUUUUGAACAAUUUAAAAAAAAAAUAAGAUUUUGAAGUGGCUGGAAAAUAUAUUUUAUUUAAAUAGGUUAAUAGAGCUUUCGUUCCCGAUUCCAUUAAUACCAAACACUCUAUAGGUAUCUCUAGUAGUUUGCGAGAUAUUUGAGAAAAACAUUUGGUCCUUCGAGCCGGAUUUUGCACUUUCAGGCUCUAUAUCUUGAGAACUAUUAAAGAUAAAUAUAGAGUGUUUGGGUUCAUUUUAAUCAGCAUGGAAUUGUCCAUCCAAUCAACAAAAAAAACAAAUAUUUUUUUAAUUUUAAAUAUCUGGACCUAAUUUUGAGUGUCUAAAAAAUUAUUUUCAUGUCAACAGAUCAAUGCGGCUUUUUCUCCCAAUUACAUUGAUACCAAACACUCUAUAGCUAUCUCUUAUAGUUAAGGAGAGAUUUUCAAAAAAACAUUUGGUCCUUCGAGCCGGAUUUUGCACUUAAAUCCCCAUAUCUCAGGAACUAAUGAAGAUAAAUAUAAAGUGUUUGUGUUCAUUUUAAUCAGCAUAAGAUUCUUUAUUUAAUUAGUGAAAAUUUUGAACAAUUUAAAAAAAUAAUAAGAUUUUGAAGUGGCUGGAAAAUAUAUUUUAUUUAAAUAGGUUAAUAGAGCUUUCAUUAGCGAUUCCAUUAAUACCAAACACUCUAUAGGUAUCUCUAGUAGUUUGCGAGAUAUUUGAGAAAAACAUUUGGUCCUUCGAGCCGGAUUUUGCACUUUCAGGCUCUAUAUCUUGAGAACUAUUACAGAUAAAUAUAGAGUGUUUGGGUUCAUUUUAAUCAGCAUAGAAUUGUCCAUCCAAUCAACAAAAAAAAAAAUAUUUUUUUAAUUUUAAAUAUCUGGACCUAAUUUUGAGUGUCUAAAAAAUUAUUUUCAUGUCAACAGAUCAAUGCGGCUUUUUCUCCCAAUUACAUUGAUACCAAACACUCUAUAGCUAUCUCUUAUAGUUAAGGAGAGAUUUUCAAAAAAACAUUUGGUCCUUCGAGCCGGAUUUUGCACUUAAAUCCCCAUAUCUCAGGAACUAAUGAAGAUAAAUAUAAAGUGUUUGGAUUCAUUUUAAUCAGCAUAAGAUUCUUUAUUUAAUUAGUGAAAAUUUUGAACAAUUAAAAAAAAAUUAAAAUUUUGAAGUGACUGGAAAAUAUAUUUUAUUUAAAUAGGUUAAUAGAGCUUUCGUUCCCGAUUCCAUUAAUACCAAACACUCUAUAGGUAUCUCUAGUAGUUUGCGAGAUAUUUGAGAAAAACAUUUGGUCCUUCGAGCCGAAUUUUGCACUUUCAGGCUCUAUAUCUUGAGAACUAUUAAAGAUAAAUAUAGAGUGUUUGGGUUCAUUUUAAUCAGCAUAGAAUUGUCCAUCCAAUCAACAAAAAAAAACAAAUAUUUUUUUAAUUUUAAAUAUCUGGACCUAAUUUUGAGUGUCUAAAAAAUUAUUUUCAUGUCAACAGAUCAAUGCGGCUUUUUCUCCCAAUUACAUUGAUACCAAACACUUUAUAGCUAUCUCUUAUAGUUAAGGAGAUAUUUUUAAAAAAACAUUUGGUCCUUCGAGCCGGAUUUUGCACUUAAAUCCCCAUAUCUCAGGAACUAAUGAAGAUAAAUAUAAAGUGUUUGAGUUCAUUUUAAUCAGCAUAAGAUUCUUUAUUUAAUUAGUGAAAAUUUUGAACAAUUAAAAAAAAAUUAAAAUUUUGAAGUGGCUGGAAAAUAUAUUUUAAUUAAAUAGGUUAAUAGAGCUUUCGUUCCCGAUUCCAUUAAUACCAAACACUCUAUAGGUAUCUCUAGUAGUUUGCGAGAUAUUUGAGAAAAACAUUUGGUCCUUCGAGCCGGAUUUUGCACUUUCAGGCUCUAUAUCUUGAGAACUAUUACAGAUAAAUAUAGAGUGUUUGGGUUCAUUUUAAUCAGCAUAGAAUUGUCCAUCCAAUCAACAAAAAAAAAAUAUUUUUUUAAUUUUAAAUAUCUGGACCUAAUUUUGAGUGUCUAAAAAAUUAUUUUCAUGUCAACAGAUCAAUGCGGCUUUUUCUCCCAAUUACAUUGAUACCAAACACUCUAUAGCUAUCUCUUAUAGUUAAGGAGAGAUUUUCAAAAAAACAUUUGGUCCUUCGAGCCGGAUUUUGCACUUAAAUCCCCAUAUCUCAGGAACUAAUGAAGAUAAAUAUAAAGUGUUUGGAUUCAUUUUAAUCAGCAUAAGAUUCUUUAUUUAAUUAGUGAAAAUUUUGAACAAUUAAAAAAAAAUUAAAAUUUUGAAGUGACUGGAAAAUAUAUUUUAUUUAAAUAGGUUAAUAGAGCUUUCGUUCCCGAUUCCAUUAAUACCAAACACUCUAUAGGUAUCUCUAGUAGUUUGCGAGAUAUUUGAGAAAAACAUUUGGUCCUUCGAGCCGAAUUUUGCACUUUCAGGCUCUAUAUCUUGAGAACUAUUAAAGAUAAAUAUAGAGUGUUUGGGUUCAUUUUAAUCAGCAUAGAAUUGUCCAUCCAAUCAACAAAAAAAAACAAAUAUUUUUUUAAUUUUAAAUAUCUGGACCUAAUUUUGAGUGUCUAAAAAAUUAUUUUCAUGUCAACAGAUCAAUGCGGCUUUUUCUCCCAAUUACAUUGAUACCGAACACUCUAUAGCUAUCUCUUAUAGUUAAGGAGAUAUUUUUAAAAAAACAUUUGGUCCUUCGAGCCGGAUUUUGCACUUAAAUCCCCAUAUCUCAGGAACUAAUGAAGAUAAAUAUAAAGUGUUUGAGUUCAUUUUAAUCAGCAUAAGAUUCUUUAUUUAAUUAGUGAAAAUUUUGAACAAUUAAAAAAAAAUUAAAAUUUUGAAGUGGCUGGAAAAUAUAUUUUAAUUAAAUAGGUUAAUAGAGCUUUCGUUCCCGAUUCCAUUAAUACCAAACACUCUAUAGGUAUCUCUAGUAGUUUGCGAGAUAUUUGAGAAAAACAUUUGGUCCUUCGAGCCGGAUUUUGCACUUUCAGGCUCUAUAUCUUGAGAACUAUUACAGAUAAAUAUAGAGUGUUUGGGUUCAUUUUAAUCAGCAUAGAAUUGUCCAUCCAAUCAACAAAAAAAAAAAUAUUUUUUUAAUUUUAAAUAUCUGGACCUAAUUUUGAGUGUCUAAAAAAUUAUUUUCAUGUCAACAGAUCAAUGCGGCUUUUUCUCCCAAUUACAUUGAUACCGAACACUCUAUAGCUAUCUCUUAUAGUUAAGGAGAUAUUUUUAAAAAAACAUUUGGUCCUUCGAGCCGGAUUUUGCACUUAAAUCCCCAUAUCUCAGGAACUAAUGAAGAUAAAUAUAAAGUGUUUGAGUUCAUUUUAAUCAGCAUAAGAUUCUUUAUUUAAUUAGUGAAAAUUUUGAACAAUUAAAAAAAAAUUAAAAUUUUGAAGUGACUGGAAAAUAUAUUUUAUUUAAAUAGGUUAAUAGAGCUUUCGUUCCCGAUUCCAUUAAUACCAAACACUCUAUAGGUAUCUCUAGUAGUUUGCGAGAUAUUUGAGAAAAGCAUUUGGUCCUUCGAGCCGGAUUUUGCACUUUCAGGCUCUAUAUCUUGAGAACUAUUAAAGAUAAAUAUAGAGUGUUUGGGUUCAUUUUAAUCAGCAUAGAAUUGUCCAUCCAAUCAACAAAAAAAAACUAAUAUUUUUUAAUUUUAAAUAUCUGGACCUAAUUUUGAGUGUCUAAAAAAUUAUUUUCAUGUCAACAGAUCAAUGCGGCUUUUUCUCCCAAUUACAUUGAUACCAAACACUCUAUAGCUAUCUCUUAUAGUUAAGGAGGGAUUUUCAAAAAAACAUUUGGUCCUUCGAGCCGGAUUUUGCACUUAAAUCCCCAUAUCUCAGGAACUAAUGGAGAUAAAUAUAAAGUGUUUGAGUUCAUUUUAAUCAGCAUAAGAUUCUUUAUUUAAUUAGUGAAAAUUUUGAACAAUUAAAAAAAAAAUAAGAUUUUGAAGUGGCUGGAAAAUAUAUUUUAUUUAAAUAGGUUAAUAGAGCUUUCGUUCCCGAUUCCAUUAAUACCAAACACUCUAUAGGUAUCUCUAGUAGUUUGCGAGAUCUUUGAGAAAAACAUUUGGUCCUUCGAGCCGGAUUUUGGGAAAAUUAAUUUUCUUAGGAGAAAGAUACAAGUUUCAAAAAAUCCAAUACUUUAGUACAACUUUUGCAUUAUUUGUACUAAAUUGACAAUAUGCUUGACCAGAGGCUCGAUAGAGUGUUUUGAAAGUACCAUAAUACUUAGUACAAUUUUUUAUAGUUUAGUGCAAUUUCAAAAGGAACUCCGCGGUACAAUUAUUUUUUUGUAUUUAUAUUUAUUUUAAAAUUUUCUUAAAAAAAAAAGCGAGAUUAAACAAAUCGAUCAACUUAGUACAAUUUUUUGAUAAUUUGUACUAAAUUCAUUUAAUGCGUGGCCAGAGGCUCUUUUGGGAGUAGUAUAAAGUUUAUUACAAUUUUUUUGAAAAUCUAGUACAAUUUUUAAAGAUCGAGUAUUUUCCUCGCAAUUAGUAAAGGAUAGUAGAUGUUAAUAAGAUUUUGUACAAUUUUUAAAAUUGUACAAAAAAGUCGCAGAGGCCUUGCAUCACCAUACAAUACAAGUAUAACAGAACAACAAGUACAAUUAUAAUUAGUACAAUUUUUUAAUUAAUUUUUUUUUUAUUUAACCAGAGCAUUUUUAGAAUCUUUUAAAUGUAGUUUAAUAUUUAGUACAAAUUUUCAUUUAUAUUUAGUACAAUUUUAAAAAAUUGUACUGAGGCCUCUGUAGUAAGUAGUAAGUAUUUUUAAAUAUAAUAUCGAUAAUAUUUAUGUAAGAAAUAGUACAACAUAUUUCAGAAUAGAAAUUUGUACUAUUUAAAAAUUUGUACUAGAAAUACCUUAUGCGUGGCCAAAGGCCUCGCAUCAUCACACAAUUUUGCUGAAAUUAGUACAAUUUUUAGUACAAUUUUUAUGUUUUUUAGGGAAAAUUAAUUUUCUUACGAAGGAGAUACAAGUUUCAAAAAAUCGAAUAUUUUAGUACAACUUUUGGAAUAUUUGUACUAAAUUGAAAAUAUGCCGGGCCAAAGGCUCGAUAGAGUCUUUUGAAAGUAGCAUAAUAUUUAGUACAAUUUUUUAUAGUUUAGUACAAUUUUAAAAGGAACCUCUGGGUUCGUUCAGCUUAAAAAAUGUUGAUUGAGUUUCGCGGAUCUUAAUUUUAAAAUUUAUUGUACAAUUUUAAUAAAGGUAAUUCAAUCUGUUAUUAUUGUACAACUUUCGAAUAAUUUGUAUCAAAUCUAUAGGUUGCCAGGGGUUACAUGCUAGUAGUACUAUAUUUAGUACAUUUAAAAAAAUAUAUUUAGUGGAGUUUUAGAAGAAUUGAAGGGUUUUCCUAUGCUAGUGAAGUACAAAAGGUUUUAAUAGAAAUUUGUGAAAAUUGUACUAAAAAAUUAUUGCGCAUGGCCAGAGGCCUCAAAAAAAAUAGUACAAUAUUUUGUACAAUUAUUUUUUUUCUAUUGAUAUUAAUUGUACAUAAAAAUCAAUUUUUCUUCAAGAAAGGUACAAUUAAAUAAAUCAAUAUAAUGCGUAACUCCUGGCCACCUAAUGCGUUUUCAGUACAAUUUUACUAGCAAAUGGUCGAACACAGUACAUUUGUACUAAAUAUCCUUGUGUGAAUGGGUACAAAAUAGUACAAAAUAUUCACAGGGAAUUUUGUACAAUGCAAAAAUUUGUACUUAAAAACUCAAGAGUCUGCACUGUGGCCAUGGACAAUUAGCAAAUAAUCGCUCAUAGCUCCGUUAGUUUCAACUUGAGGUAAAAAACGCACUGAACCUUUUUUCUUAAGCAUAAAAUUCCCUAUCAUUUGAUGUAACAAUAUAUAGGGUGGCCCAAUUAAAAAGGGACAUUUCCUUUGAUAAACUUUCGCCACCGUUUUUUAGCACAAAAACUCAACUUCUCUCACCCUGUAGAUAUAGAAAAGGGUGUAAUAAGACAGCGAAAUACAAUCAUACCUAAGGACACCUAUGUACCGAUGACCAAAGUGUAUUAAUAAGUUAAGAACGUUUAAAAAAAAAGCAAUAAAAACUAACGUCUAAGUUACAUCGAACGUACGUAGUUAACCUGUAAAUAAACGCCUUAAUAAUCAAAAUAUUCACUAUAUAAUGUAAUGAUAUCUUGUAUACUGCUGCUGACGGUCUUCCUGGAUAUUCCUGUUUGAUUUUUGUACAAUUUUUUUGCUCCAGAAUUAAUCUCUAAGCCCUCUUCGAUGUGCUACUAAAGUACUAUAAGUGUUUGUGUAUAAAUAAAUAAAUAAAUAAAUAAAAUAAAUAAAUGUUAGUUUUUAGCUGAUUUCCGUCUUAAAUGAAGAAAAGGCUCGUUAUUUGUAUGUUAAACUUGUUUUGUUUUUUUUUUUUUACUUAAGUUUGUGUUUUUAUAUUUUUAUUUGUUUGUUUUUUUUUGUAUUGAUAAGUAGAGCUGUUUAUAUAUUAUAUACGUACGUUAUUAUGAGUGCUGUUUUUUGAAUCGAUACAUUUGGCGCUUUUUUGCAAUAAAAAAUUGUUUAAUGGA
This is a long non-coding RNA of Anthonomus grandis grandis, 7259 nucleotides long. RefSeq lists it as uncharacterized. The record is from RefSeq and is a predicted model, not a curated record. The transcript has 4 exons. Lineage: Eukaryota; Metazoa; Arthropoda; Insecta; Coleoptera; Curculionidae.